RNAcentral lists this ribosomal RNA (450 nucleotides) under Cystocaulus ocreatus. RNAcentral's name for it is "eukaryotic LSU rRNA". The stretch from base 382 to 450 matches the Rfam family "Eukaryotic large subunit ribosomal RNA", at positions 1 to 69 of the family's 3401-position model. Lineage: Eukaryota; Metazoa; Nematoda; Chromadorea; Rhabditida; Metastrongylidae. The record is from RNAcentral.
AAAUACUACUAUUGCCGCAUAUAUACAAUACUAUACAUAUGUAUAUAUUGUAAGGACGUGCAUGCGGCUGUCUGUCGAACGGUACUCGUCGUCGCCGUCGCGAAACGUCGACGUGAUUCCCGUUUCAGUAAAGAAUGAAGUGAUAGCAACAUGUAACAAUAUGUACGUAUCGUUGUACCGAAUGCAAUAUGUAAUCGUGUGACUGUACGCUAGUGAUCAUUACUUACCAUCGUCGGUUUUGAUUCUCAAUGGGUAUCAUUGAUGGAAUCGCCUGGCAUGAAAUAGUCGUCGAUGGAUGACGUGUGUUGCUCAGUAAUGAUGACUAUGAACACUAGAUUAGUCGCAAAUAGAUUACACAUUUGUAUUUAAAAUUGUACGAUGCAACCUGAACUCAGACGUGAUUACCCGCUGAACUUAAGCAUAUCAUUUAGCGGAGGAAAAAAAACCUAU